UCUUGUGUGCUGAUAAAUAAAGAUCCAAUUAAAGCGAGGUCGUCACUCAACGAUGUUGAUUGGAUCAGCACUUGUCGAAGUUGAUUGAGUUUGAAUCGUGGAGAUGAGCUGCUGCUAUCGUUGGAUUCCACUGGAUAGGAUUUCUGAACAACUACAAUUUUUUUUAAGUGGCUCUGCUUAACUAAUAACAAAUGGACGGGCUUUGAUUGAAGGUGGGCUUUGCUUUAACAAAUUAAAAGAUGGUCAAGCCUUGUAACAUGGGUCUUGUAACUAGGCCUGGGUGUGAUUUGUUGUGGGCCUCUUGAAAACUUGGCUGCUCAUCUCUUGAAGUGAACGUGGGCUUGCUCAAACGAGGGCUUGCUCGUAUCUAAGGCACCACUUCAAACUCCUUUCCUUGAGCAGCAAAAAAAUCAGAUCCAGAACCUAGGGCAAAAGGGUUGACGGCGAAACCUCCGACGUCGUCGUUUGACGGCGGAAACCGACGGUGCGACGAUACUAUAUCCAGUGAUUCGAUCUCUUUUAGCAGCCGUCGAAGUCGCAGCCUUGUCGUCGUCUAUCGAUUGAUCGUCGAAGCAGAGUCGUUGAGGUGACCGAUUGACGCAGAGCUCGAGAGGGUGGCGAUGAGAUCGACAGGCUUUGAUACCAGUGUUUGAUCACAGAGAAGAAGAGAAAAGGAAUGGAUUUCGUUGAGGGGGGCUCCGGUAAUGGGAGCUUAGAUUGUGACAUUUUCAUGAUAUGAUACAUACAUUCCAUCAUUAAUGACACAACUCUAUUCAUUUAUCAGAAUGAGUGUGCACUUUUCUGAUCAAAGAUCUCUAUUGCAUUUAUCUCAGAGGAAUCAGAAAAUUUGCUAGAAAAUGCUUUUACCUAGGAAGCAGACUCUGAAUAUAUAUGUCUAGGAUGUCCUUAUUUUUGAAGUUGUAUUGUUUAAGAUCUGUGUAUUUGAUUGUUUCAUGUUGUGUUGAUUUUGUAGUGGUGAUUUUGGGUAGUGGUGAUUUUGGACACUGAGUAUAAAUCAAAUCGGUUUUUUAAGCAAUGUGAACGUGUGAUGAUGUAUACAACGUGUUGUUCGAUCGAUUGUUCAUGUCGAUGAGAAGUCCACUCUCAAUUUUCUAUUUUUUUAAAAAUGUAUAGCUAUUUAUACUGAAGUGUAGCAUCUUUUUGUGAAAGUAUAACUCUUUAUUGCAAAGUAUAGCUCUUUACUCUUUA
Long non-coding RNA from Asparagus officinalis (garden asparagus), 1209 nucleotides. RefSeq lists it as uncharacterized. The transcript has 2 exons. Lineage: Eukaryota; Viridiplantae; Streptophyta; Magnoliopsida; Asparagales; Asparagaceae. The record is from RefSeq and is a predicted model, not a curated record.